Molecule: transfer RNA, 71 nt
Filed under: Hemiselmis andersenii
Lineage: Eukaryota; Cryptophyceae; Cryptomonadales; Hemiselmidaceae
Source: RNAcentral
AAAAAAUAUCUUUACGAAAAACAGAAAACUUUUUUAGAUUUUCAUUUCGGAAAUUUUCGAUUCAAUAAAUC